AUCCGUAGAUAUCACUAGGAAUAUCAAAAGCGAAGGCGAUCUGCUGGGAUGAUACUGACGCUGAGGCACGAAAGCGUGGGGAGCAAACAGGAUUAGAUACCCUGGUAGUCCACGCCCUAAACGAUGAAUGCUAGUCGUCGGGGUACUCGUUACUUCGGUGAUGCACUUAACAGAUUAAGCAUUCCGCCUGGGGAGUACGGUCGCAAGAUUAAAACUCAAAGGAAUAGACGGGGACCCGCACAAGUGGUGGAGCAUAUGGUUUAAUUCGAAGAUACACGAAGAACCUUACCUGGCCUUGACAUGGUAGGAACCCUUAAGAGAUUAGGGGGUGCUAGCUUGCUAGAACCUACACACAGGUGCUGCACGGCUGUCGUCAGCUCGUGUCGUGAGAUGUUGGGUUAAGUCCCGCAACGAGCGCAACCCUCGUCCUUAGUUGCUAACAGUUUGGCUGAGCACUCUAAGGAGACUGCCUUCGCAAGGAGGAGGAAGGUGAGGACGACGUCAAGUCAUCAUGGCCCUUACGGCCAGGGCUACACACGUGCUACAAUGGGGCGUACAAAGAGCUGCAAUACCGCGAGGUGGAGCCAAUCUCUUAAAGCGUCUCUCAGUUCGGAUUGUUCUCUGCAACUCGAGAACAUGAAGCUGGAAUCACUAGUAAUCGUAGAUCAGCUAUGCUACGGUGAAUACGUUCCCGGGUCUUGUACUCACCGCCCGUCACACCAUGGGAGUUGAUUUCACCCGAAAUCGGGAUGCCAAACUGGCUACCGCUUACGGUGGAAUUAGCGACUGGGGUGAAGUCGUAACAAGGUAACC
This 813-nucleotide ribosomal RNA is filed under the name uncultured Campylobacterota bacterium. RNAcentral's name for it is "bacterial SSU rRNA". It matches the Rfam family "Bacterial small subunit ribosomal RNA", at positions 686 to 1501 of the family's 1533-position model. Lineage: Bacteria; Pseudomonadati; Campylobacterota. The record is from RNAcentral.